Lycium barbarum (goji berry) is the source of this 966-nucleotide long non-coding RNA. RefSeq lists it as uncharacterized. The transcript is spliced from 3 exons. The record is from RefSeq and is a predicted model, not a curated record. NCBI's taxonomy places the organism in Eukaryota, Viridiplantae, Streptophyta, Magnoliopsida, Solanales, Solanaceae.
UAACUGCACACUAAAUAUUGUUUUGAUCAUAUUAUUCAAAUUGCACAAAUGAAAGUCCACGAGAUCGAAGAAACGAACUAUGCACUUGCCUGCGCAUCGCUGAGUACAGAUACAUGAAUCGUCAUGACCAUUUUUUAGAGGAACUACAAAAGAACUACACUAGAGUAUCAAUGUGGAACACAUGACAAGCUUCUGUGAGUUGCAGCGUAAAGCAUCUAAUAUAUCAAUUAUCAUACUUCAAAGCAAGACUUUCGUGACGCAAGAGGAUAUGAAGAAGUCAUGAUAGAAGAUUACUGAUCUGGAAAAGGAAGGAUACUUUGGUAGUUGGUCAGAUGAAGAAGGGGAGGGCUCAAAUAAUAUGAUAGUACUAAAGAUGGAGACUUACACAGAAUCAAGGAAUCAAGUAGGGAAGAGCCCAACUUGCAGGCAUGUAGCAUACUGUCAAGAACAAGUUAUCAUGGUUAAGUUACAGGUAAGGUAAGAAUAUGUAAUAACUGAUUUUGAUUUAAAAAUAAAAAUUUACAUGAAGGUAUAUGUGCAAGUGAAUUUAGAGUAAAUACACAGUUCAGACAACUUUUUAUCCAAAGAUGAGUUCUAUGCUUUUAGUUCAAAUUGUGAUCAGUUGACUAGUAAUUUAUCGCCUAAGCAGCAAAUGUUGAUUAGUAAUUCAUUGCCAUCCUUUUAGGGAAGUUUUAAACUUGUUUAUUGGCCUAUAGUGGAUUUUGAUUAUAAUUUGGUCAUUGUAGGGUGAAUAAUGUUAAAUUAAACAACAGGAUGACAAUGAUUUUCAUCAAUUACUCCCUCCGAAUAAAAAAAAAGAGUCCACUUAACCAUUUGCAUGCCUCUUAAAAAACUACUCACUCCAAGAAAAAAAUAUGUAAAUUGACUGAACUACGCCUAAUUAAAUUGGCAUUGAAAUUUGAUCACAUAACACUUAAUGGGGACAAAUCUGAAAAGAUAAGGUUA